ACAUGGAUUGUGCCCACACAUCUCAAUCUGGAGGUAGAUGCAUUGAAAGGUCCGACUGACGGUCAGUCUAGAUGUUGCCAUGCAUCAGAAUCUUGGACAAUCUUGAUUUGAAUGAACAUAUCUCAGCCAUUGACGGGUUAUAUAUAAGGAUUGCCUUCCUCCUCUGACCAAGUUCUCUGCUACAGCUGAGAAUUUGAGAGCGUCUCCCAUGGGUGUCG
RNAcentral lists this long non-coding RNA (218 nucleotides) under Elaeis guineensis (African oil palm). RNAcentral's name for it is "long non-coding RNA (EGUI_LNC040628)". The record is from RNAcentral. Lineage: Eukaryota; Viridiplantae; Streptophyta; Magnoliopsida; Arecales; Arecaceae.